RNAcentral lists this unclassified non-coding RNA (305 nucleotides) under plant metagenome. RNAcentral's name for it is "partial contains 5.8S ribosomal RNA, internal transcribed spacer 2, and large subunit ribosomal RNA". The stretch from base 1 to 105 matches the Rfam family "5.8S ribosomal RNA", at positions 50 to 154 of the family's 154-position model. The record is from RNAcentral.
GAAAUGCGAUAAGUAGUGUGAAUUGCAGAAUUCAGUGAAUCAUCGAAUCUUUGAACGCACAUUGCGCCCUUUGGUAUUCCUUAGGGCAUGCCUGUUCGAGCGUCAUCUAAACCUUCAAGCCCUGCUUGGUGUUGGAUGCCUGUCCCGCCUCCGCGCGCGGACUCACCUCAAAUCCAUUGGCGGCCCCCGCGUCGGCCACGAGCGCAGCAGAAACGCGAACUCGUGAGCCCGUCCGGGCGGCUCCCAGAAGCUACACCCACCCAGUUUGACCUCGGAUCAGGUAGGGAUACCCGCUGAACUUAAGC